CCUACGGGAGGCAGCAGCUAAGAAUAUUCCGCAAUGGACGAAAGUCUGACGGAGCGACGCCGCGUGGAUGACGAAGGCCGAAAGGUUGUAAAAUCCUUUUGUUGGGGAAGAAUAAGGCUGGGAGGGAAUGCCCGGUCGAUGACAUGAACCGACGAAUAAGCCCCGGCUAACUACGUGCCAGCAGCCGCGGUAAUACGUAGGUGGCAAGCGUUGUCCGGAAUUACUGGGCGUAAAGGGCAUGUAGGCGGCUUGGUAAGCCUGGCGUGAAAGUCCACAGCUUAACUGUGGGACAGCGCUGGGAACUGCUGAGCUUGAGUUAUGGAGAGGGAGCUGGAAUUCCUGGUGUAGGGGUGAAAUCUGUAGAGAUCAGGAAGAACACCGAUGGCGAAGGCAAGCUCCUGGCCAAUGACUGACGCUGAGGUGCGAAAGUGUGGGGAUCAAACAGGAUUAGAUACCCUGGUAGUCCACGCGGUAAACGAUGUGCACUAGGUGCCGGGACGGUAGUUUCGGUGCCGGAGCGAACGCGGUAAGUGCACCGCCUGGGGAGUAUGCUCGCAAGGGUGAAACUCAAAGGAAUUGACGG
This 583-nucleotide ribosomal RNA is filed under the name uncultured bacterium. RNAcentral describes it as "bacterial SSU rRNA". It matches the Rfam family "Bacterial small subunit ribosomal RNA", at positions 338 to 916 of the family's 1533-position model. The record is from RNAcentral.